GAUGAACGCUGGCGGCGUGCCUAAUACAUGCAAGUCGAGCGAACGGGCGAGAAGCUUGCUUCUCUGAUGUUAGCGGCGGACGGGUGAGUAACACGUGGAUAACCUACCUAUAAGACUGGGAUAACUUCGGGAAACCGGAGCUAAUACCGGAUGAUAUUUUGAACCGCAUGGUUCAAAAGUGAAAGACGGUCUUGCUGUCACUUAUAGAUGGAUCCGCGCUGCAUUAGCUAGUUGGUAAGGUAACGGCUUACCAAGGCAACGAUGCAUAGCCGACCUGAGAGGGUGAUCGGCCACACUGGAGCUGAGACACGGUCCAGACUCCUACGGGAGGCAGCAGUAGGGAAUCUUCCGCAAUGGGCGAAAGCCUGACGGAGCAACGCCGCGUGAGUGAUGAAGGUCUUCGGAUCGUAAAACUCUGUUAUUAGGGAAGAACAUAUGUGUAAGUAACUGUGCACAUCUUGACGGUACCUAAUCAGAAAGCCACGGCUAACUACGUG
Molecule: ribosomal RNA, 497 nt
Filed under: uncultured bacterium
Lineage: Bacteria
Description: partial 16S ribosomal RNA
Rfam family: Bacterial small subunit ribosomal RNA
Source: RNAcentral